This 1206-nucleotide long non-coding RNA is filed under the name Serinus canaria (Common canary). RNAcentral's name for it is "lncRNA (ENSSCAG00000013948.1)". The record is from RNAcentral. Lineage: Eukaryota; Metazoa; Chordata; Aves; Passeriformes; Fringillidae.
CAGCAGUGCAGAAUCUGCCUCUGUGCAGUCCUGGUUCCCCCUUCCAUCCUUCAGUCCUUGUGCUGUCCUCCUUGGAGUGCAGCCAAGUCUGGAUCCUGCUCCUGCCUUGGCUGUGGGUGUAGCUGGAGUGGCUCUUCGGUAAACAGAAUUAGAGGCAAAUGUGGGAGGUUCCUGGAGUCACCUGUGGCCUGCCUCCUCCCAUUCCUGGACCCGGGCUGCCUGCGAGGCCCUUUAAAUUGCCGGUUAACACAGCCCUGGACACAGACUUCAUCAGCAUGGCACCAAGCAUCCUCCUGCUGGGGCUCCUCACCCUGUGGGCACAGCUGCAGGCAGCACCCAUUGCAGAGUUCCAUGGAGUAGCUCCAGCUGGGUGGCCACCACCAGGGCAGCCGGGAAGCACCCUGAGCCUUGAGCCUGGGAGAGAGCCCAGCAUGGAGCCUGACAAUGACAAACACACGUCCAAUAGCAAUGAAAUGGGUGACUCCAGUAGCCAUGAAACUGGUGAGUCCAAUAGCAGUGAAACUGGUGAUGAUGGCAAUAAAAAUCAGCUUUGUGAUUGCAAUGAUCAUGAUCAUGGUGACAGCAACAGUGAUAAUGCAGAUGAUGAUGGUGUCAACAGUGACAAUUCCAAAGGCAAUGAAGAUGGUGAUGAUGGCGAUAAAAAUGACCUUUUUGAUGGCAAGGACAAUGACAAUGAUAAUGGUGACAAUGACAGGGGUGAUGGUGAUAAUGGUGUCAAUGGUGACAACUCCAAAGGCAAUGAAGAUGGUGAUGAUGGUGUUAAAAAUGACCUUUCUGAUGGCAAGGACAAUGACAGUGAUGAUGGUGAUGAUGACAGUGAUGAUGGUGAUGAUGACAGUGAUGAUGGUGAUGAUCUCAUCAAUGAUGAAAAUUCCAAUAGCAAUGAAGAUGGUGAUGAUGGCAUCAGUGAUGAAAAUUCCAAUAGCAAUGAAGAUGGUGAUGAUGACAUCAACAGUGACAGUUCCAAUAGCAGUGAAGAUGGUGACUCCAGUGACAAUGAAUAUGAUCACUCCAAUAGCAAUGAAAAUUAUGCUGAUUAUGGGGGGUGGACAUUUUAGAUUGUAAGGAUGUAAUUGCCCUGGGAUUUUCAGAGAUUUUUGGGUUCCUCUUUUGUGGCAUCCAGAUCAGAUUUCAUGCUUGAUCUGUGCCAAUAAAUAUAUCUAGUGAACAUGAGAGCUUAGUGUC